CAGCUAGCCAAUGAAUCUGCUUACCUGAAAGAGUUUCUGCAGAAAUUUUUAAGAAGUUGGCAAUUGGGGGUUGGCGCCUGUGGCUCAGUGGGUAGGGCACCAGCCCCAUAUACCA
Molecule: small nucleolar RNA, 115 nt
Filed under: Otolemur garnettii (small-eared galago)
Lineage: Eukaryota; Metazoa; Chordata; Mammalia; Primates; Galagidae
Description: Small nucleolar RNA SNORA33 (ENSOGAG00000023169.2)
Source: RNAcentral